This 253-nucleotide ribosomal RNA is filed under the name uncultured bacterium. RNAcentral describes it as "partial 16S ribosomal RNA". It matches the Rfam family "Bacterial small subunit ribosomal RNA", at positions 524 to 776 of the family's 1533-position model. The record is from RNAcentral.
UACGUAGGAGGCAAGCGUUGUCCGGAAUUACUGGGCGUAAAGCGCGUGUAGGUGGUGGGACAAGUCUGCUGUGAAAGCGCCUGGCUUAACCGGGCGAGGUCGGCGGAAACUGUCCGACUCGAGGACGGUAGAGGGGGGUGGAAUUCCCGGCGUAGUGGUGAAAUGCGUAGAGAUCGGGAGGAACACCUGUGGCGAAGGCGGCCCCCUGGGCCGGCCCUGACACUGAGACGCGAAGGCGUGGGGAGCGAACGGG